UACGGAGGGUGCGAGCGUUGUCCGGAAUUACUGGGCGUAAAGCGUGCGCAGACGGUUGCGUAAGUCAGAUGUGAAAGCCCCGGGCUCAACCUGGGAAUUGCAUUUGAGACUGCGUAGCUAGGGUGCGGAAGAGGGAAGCGGAAUUUCCGGUGUAGCGGUGAAAUGCGUAGAUAUCGGAAGGAACACCAGUGGCGAAAGCGGCUUCCUGGUCCAGCACCGACGUUCAGGCACGAAAGCGUGGGGAGCAAACAGG
RNAcentral lists this ribosomal RNA (253 nucleotides) under uncultured bacterium. Its description in RNAcentral is "partial 16S ribosomal RNA". It matches the Rfam family "Bacterial small subunit ribosomal RNA", at positions 524 to 776 of the family's 1533-position model. The record is from RNAcentral.